CCUACGGGAGGCUGCAGUGAGGAAUAUUGGUCAAUGGGCGAGAGCCUGAACCAGCCAAGUCGCGUGAGGGAGUACUGCCCUAUGGGUUGUAAACCUCUUUUGUCGGGGAGCAAAAGCCGGACGUGUCCGGCUGUGAGAGUACCCGAAGAAAAAGCAUCGGCUAACUCCGUGCCAGCAGCCGCGGUAAUACGGAGGAUGCGAGCGUUAUCCGGAUUUAUUGGGUUUAAAGGGUGCGCAGGCGGGUUUUUAAGUCAGCGGUAAAAUCGUGGGGCUCAACCCCAUCCAGCCGUUGAAACUGGGGAUCUAGAGUGUGCGAGAGGUAUGCGGAAUGCGUGGUGUAGCGGUGAAAUGCAUAGAUAUCACGCAGAACCCCGAUUGCGAAGGCAGCAUACCGGUGCACAACUGACGCUCAGGCACGAAAGCGUGGGUAUCGAACAGGAUUAGAUACCCGUGUAGUC
RNAcentral lists this ribosomal RNA (458 nucleotides) under uncultured bacterium. Its description in RNAcentral is "partial 16S ribosomal RNA". It matches the Rfam family "Bacterial small subunit ribosomal RNA", at positions 338 to 795 of the family's 1533-position model. The record is from RNAcentral.